This is a long non-coding RNA of Lolium perenne, 4547 nucleotides long. RefSeq lists it as uncharacterized. The record is from RefSeq and is a predicted model, not a curated record. Lineage: Eukaryota; Viridiplantae; Streptophyta; Magnoliopsida; Poales; Poaceae.
UUUCCCUGUUUUCCGCAUGAAGUUAUGCAUUGUUUCCUUCGCGUGAUCAAAGCAGCUGUAGGACCCACCACCGAACGAACGUGAAGUUUUGGAUGGAUUGGCGAGAUCGAGGCGUCCCUUCCAGGCUGAGACACGUAUUCUCUCCUGAUUCCUUUCCCAUUUUCCCCACGACUCCAUCGAGGUAGGCCACCACUCCACGAGCAGACUAGCCCCUCCAUUGAACCCUCAAUCUCCACCUCCGCCGGCCUUCAUCGGAAGCUUAUUGCUGACCAAAGUCCUUCCUAAUGGCGGCCUCAACAGCGGCCGUUGGUGCGCAACGUACACCACGGGGAACUCUGGCCCCGCGCAGUACUGUGCGCUGGAACUGCCAGCGCCCAAAACUGCGCCGCUGCACAACGAUGGCCGUGGGUGACGAAGAGGACCGCGAUGGGCUGAUGGGCAGCGCAGCUGGGAGCUCACAGAUGGAGCGGCCACCUCCUGUUAAUUCCACCGUUGGAGACCGGCUGCAGCGCCUUCUUAUCUCUUCUCUUACUCCCUCACCCUCUAGGGAUUUGGAGCCUAUUUCGAUUUUGACUCUUCUCCAGCAGUACGCACUGGCGGAGCUUGGCGCCGUUCUCCGCCGCAUGGCGGCCUGUACGUGUUUCGAUGGGCUACCCGCCGACUCUCCGCUUGCAGCCGCCAUGGAAGCGCCGCCCUCCAACCUUUUCAUCCACGGGAGGAGGAGAUUGGGGCGGUGAUGCGCUUUAGUUCUUCUGUUCUGUUCGGUUGUAGUACAUGCAGAUGCAGGUGUGCCCUUCUCCACUUGACGUAGUUGAGUUGUUAUGGUAAAUCGCUUUGCAUCCCAUUCUCUAUAUCUUCAUGUUCAUAUUUGGUCAUACUUCCUGAUUGUAUCCUCUCUUUUUAAUCCCAGUAUCUCCCUUGGAUACUCAACUCCUAUAGUUUAAGAAAAAGAAACAUCCAUUAAAUAGUGAUAUCCUUGAGCAAUUAGUUUAUGUAUUAGAUCUGAUAAAAAAAUGAUACGAUAGCAGAUGGGCUUACAAUCUGGGACCUAUGGAUUAUUAAAUCGCUGCGAGUUCAGAUAUUUGGUCUUCAGAUAUACAUAGGAGCAUGUUUUACUGUGUCUUCAAAUUUGAUUGUUCUUCCUGGAUUGCACAACUCUUGCUACAUAAAUUGUGUAAAUAUGUUGAUUUCUUUCCUGCAGUCUUGAUUAAUUUUUACCCACGUGGUUUCUCCUUGCAGCAUCAAGUGAGCCUGGUACAUCAAGUAUUAGCAUGUGAGUAUGUUCGUUUCUUUCCUGCGGUGUUAUUAACUUUUACCUACCGCUGGUUAUUUAAGCAGGGUAGGGUAAGAUCUUUCUAUCUCUGUUCUACUUUUGGAUCGAGAAGACAAAGAUGGCAUUGGUAGCACAACGGCAUGCACAUCAAAGUGAAUAUUAUUGUGUCAUUUUUUCCAUGUACAAAUUAGUACUUGCCAAUUUUUCUUGAGCAAUAAGAAUCUUUCUUGCGGUAUAUGUCUCAAGUUCUUAAAUGACAUUUUCUAGGCUGCUGAUGAUUCGGAUGACUCUGUUGGUCGCUCCUCUUUGGUCAGUUCUCUGACUAUUGUUCUGGUUGUUUCUUCCCUUCAUUGUGCUUUGGCUAAUCUUGAUGCUUGGAGGCGAGAGAUUCGUCCGGUGUUCUGCUGAAAACAAAAGACAAGAAAAAUUCAACUGGAGCAGGUAACAAAAUUGGUUCCUCAAUUGCAAGAGCAAGAUUACGGUGGAUCUUUUCUUCCUUCAAGGUGUGCCUCUUUAUUUUAAUAAGGUCAUUGAGUAAAGUUGCUGCCUUCAAUUCAGAAGGUAUAUAAAUAGAAGAUGGAAGUACCCCAACGCACCGGCGGCAGUGCUCCACUGCUGCCAGGACAUGUGGGUUUGGUUUGGGCAAACACGCACUGGGCUCUUCCAUCUAGGAGGAAACAAGGUAAUAUCAUCUGCUUGCCCGAGCUGCCGCUGUUAAUUGCACCCAUGUUGUUCUUUUGGUUUGCAACAUCAGAUUCAAAGGAUACUAAAAUCCAGUAGCAAGAUGAAGUCAGGUGUGUUUAAUGUUCCUUAUUUAUUUAGUUUACAUCUGACAGCUGCGUUUUAUUUGUAGGCUUCUACAAAAGUAACAAUAAAGAAAGAAAACUGUAUCUUUUUUGUUGCACAAAUUGGUUCGACCAACUUCUCUUACUGCUAAUCCAAGCAUGUAAAGUUUUGUUUUCAGUUAUACUCUACCAGGUAGUUUCCGUUUGUUUGAUAAAUGUACAGUUCUGAAUAUGGCAUAGGUACUUAUGUAUCUCUAAAAUAAGCUUAAAAGCUCACCCAUGUUCUUUUUUGUCUAAUUUUUUUUAUCAGAGUUUUCUUUGGUGACGUUCCAGGUUCUGGGAGCUGCAUACAGAAACAAGUAGGAAUGAAAUUUUCUUUUAGUACUAACCAAACAUGUAGACCUUUUUUCCAGUUACUUUACCAUGUAGAUUCCGUUAGUUUGAUUAUUGUAAAUGUACUUUUCUGGAUAUGGCAUAAAAAGUUCAUCUCGAAAAAUAAGCUUGAAGGCCACCCUGUUCUUUUUGGUCUAAUUUUUACUCAGUUGUUUUCUCAAGUGCAGCGAUUUUCUUCCUUAGGGACAGAACGCUCCAGAUUUUGGUAACAACACGCCUACUCGCACGAUUAGAGUGCAAUGCAAAUUGACUAUAAUUGAAUUCUGUUCUUGCAACACACGAUUUGCUUAAAAAGUGCUAUCAUUUAUCCAAAUCUACCAUCAGUUCUCCCCAUAGAAUCGUAGUUACCUUGAGGAGGAGCGGCAUGAAUGGCUGACAAAGAAGUGCAGACAGGCCACCGUCAAGCUAGCUCCCGCGUGAGCUAUCAUUUCCCAUUAACAUCGCCUGCUGCACUGCCCUCGAUUCCUCUUCUUUCCCCAACGCCUUUCUUUUGCCUGCCCGCUUCCCGUUGCCCUUCUUGCAUAUGUUGCAUCGAAUCGACCACUUCUGGCGAACUUGGCUGUUGCUCCCCGCGCCGUGUUGGCGACUUCCGCCCAACCUUUCCUCCUAUGUUUCCUCAUCGUCUUGGCUCGCUGGCUGGGUCUAGCACCUGGACUGUUUGAAGAACCGCCGGUUUAGAUUUUGCGAGUCUGCCUAUUUCUCGGUGGCACGGCGACGACCUGAACCAAGCCUCACCUUUCUUCUCUUUUGCUCUGGUGGUUCGUGGCCAGCUCUAUCGCCUCGACCUGAUCGAUAAGAGGGGAAGCACUGCCAAUUUGGAAGGUAGCGAAUAGCAAACCCACAAAGGAUAGGUGGAGGAAAAAGGGACGAGUACAACGCAAUGUGAAACACACCAUGUGUCCACUUAGUCUUUAUUUUGCUAACAACAAAUCAAGCUAAUUUUCAAAAAUUACCGGCACGGGCGCGGCGUGUCGCCGCGCCUACCUUCCUAGUUACAUAUAUUAAAGCUGACCCUUUUUGCUGAAAUCUUAGGCAUUUGGGCAUUUAGAUACUGUUGACGGUAGUAUUUCAUCCAAUCAAAUCUUAACACGAGGGCAGUCCCGCCGAGUUACCGGUUGCCUACGGUCUAUGUGACUAACCUGGACGGUUCUACUAGAUCAAAGGCGGUCAAAGCGGUGUGACCUAUGUAUUAGUCCAGACUGCUGGCCCUAUUCUCCUUCUUCCUCCCUAAUCCCAUUGUUCAGGUUAAAUAAAAAAUCCCCACCGCUGCGGCCCGUGUCCUUCUCUGAGGUGGGCGCCCUCAUUGCCCGGCCGCCUUGCGGCCCGCCCGCGCUCGACCUCCUCGGUGGCUGGUUCAUGGCGUGGCGUGGCUGCAGCUCCCCACGGCCUCGCCGGCUGGCCCGCCAUCUUCGUGUUCCACGGCUGUCAGCUCCGACGCCUGUUCGUGAUCUAGGAGCGUGCCGGUCCGCCGGUCCGCCGUCCGACCGCUCGACGGCCAGCAGUGUCGUCGUCUGGGAUAACAUCGUUGCGUCGACGCCUCCCAUUUGCCACCCAGACGAGGACCACGACUCCCACGCCAUCAUUGGUACGACCUUGGUUUGUGCUAUGCCUGGCCGUGUCGCCGGGAGUCCGUGCCAACUGGGAGGAGUGCUCCUGCGAGAAGAUGGUGAGAGACUCGCCGAGCGGGGCCAACCUAUUGCUGGUUUCCAUUGAUUACAUACUCGGAUCGCAAGCGUGCUCUACUGUAUAGUUUCUCUAAAAAUAGCUACUUAAUUAUGCUAUGCAUCAAAGAAGAGGGGUUGGUACUGGCUUGCUAUCCAGUCAGCUCAUACGGAAGACACCAAUUCGUGUGAGCAGCGGUGGCUGAAGGUAGGAGAUUACUACCAUGCUAGCGAUCCAGCUUCAUGUACGGCUCGCAUCUCGGUGAGUCUAGGGUCUUCCCUUCUCCACCAGUCAAGUCAGCAUCUUAUUUUUCUGUUCUGUCUACCUAUGUUCUGGUGCCUGCCAUAUGCUACAGUGACCACCUUGAAAGUGGUUUGAGAAAAAUAUGCAGUGACCUCUUACAACUGCAUUUGUGGAUUAGCAUUUGCAAAAGU